RNAcentral lists this ribosomal RNA (305 nucleotides) under uncultured bacterium. RNAcentral's name for it is "bacterial SSU rRNA". It matches the Rfam family "Bacterial small subunit ribosomal RNA", at positions 334 to 654 of the family's 1533-position model. The record is from RNAcentral.
UUUUCCUACGGGACGCAGCAGUGGGGAAUAUUGGACAAUGGGGGGAACCCUGAUCCAGCGACGCCGCGUGAGUGAAGAAGUAUUUCGGUAUGUAAAGCUCUAUCAGCAGGGAAGAAGAAAUGACGGUACCUAACUAAGAAGCCCCGGCUAACUACGUGCCAGCAGCCGCGGUAAUACGUAGGGGGCAAGCGUUAUCCGGAUUUACUGGGUGUAAAGGGAGCGUAGACGGUGCAGCAAGUCUGGAGUGAAAGGCAGGGGCCCAACCCCUGGACUGCUCUGGAAACUGUUGUACUUGAGUGCAGGAG